Cynoglossus semilaevis (tongue sole) is the source of this 1923-nucleotide long non-coding RNA. RefSeq lists it as uncharacterized. Lineage: Eukaryota; Metazoa; Chordata; Actinopteri; Pleuronectiformes; Cynoglossidae. The transcript has 3 exons. The record is from RefSeq and is a predicted model, not a curated record.
AUAGCAAAAGUUGGAAUGAUGGUUUAUAUUUUCUUAUUUUCCAAUAUAGUUAUCGUAAAUAUUUAUAAAAUAAUACAGCGUGGCCCGUUUCCGGUCGCGUUUACUCUAUUUUUUUAAAAUCCAAUCACAUUUCAAGUCUCAUGUGUUACCAGGGUGAAAAUAAUCUAACCCUCAGAAACACUAGUACUGUGUUUGUGGAGUUCAUUUUAACCAAUUAGAUUUUGAGUAGGCUACACUAAGACCGUCCACCGAUUUGAGUGAUUUGAUUGGACGGUCUAAGUCUCAACUCUACCAAAUUGUAUGUAGCGAGUUUCAAGCUCUAACAUGAAGUUUUCUCUACGUCCACUGCCCCACUGUGGAGCGGACAUUCCCAGCCUAAAGCAAAUUAAAACGUAUGCCUUAAAUACGACUGGACUCUCAGCAUCAGAAAGAAUGGACUGUUACACGCAUGAUUUGUAAAACGGCAAUUGAACUUAUCUUAGCGUGAGGAACAUGAACUUCGUGUGCAGGUACUCAUAGGUUUUGUGAGUCGUCCUCUCUAGGUCACCAACUGCUGCCCUGUUACUGAGCCUUGACGCCCACUGAGGAAUCUCGAUCUUGGCUUCCACUCCGUACUCCCAUGAUUCCGUACUCCCUGCGCAGGAGGACCAGAGGACAACCUUGCAUGUGAAAAUCAGCGGCAAAGAAGGACAGGUGACAAUUUUCCAAACAUCUGCUGAGCGGAGUCACAGUAAAAGGGCAGCCAGACUUUGGCUUAUCAGUGCCGACCAGACAUCAGACCGUGGUAAUUUGAUGAGAUUUAUAAUUUAUCAGGCCUAAUGCACAAUUGUUCUGAGUUGAAAGUGGAAUAAUCAGGCGGAUGACAUGUGAGAUUGAAGACUCCUGCGUUGGAACGAAGCAGGAAAAGUGGAUUUUAAAUGAUGUGGCUGAUUUGCGGUGUGUAAUCUGCGGUGUUUACUUGCUGGAAACGCCGUUAGUCUGUUGGAGAAACGCGUCCAACGUCCUCUAUUUUGAUAGUAAAUUGUGGAAACCAAUCAGCGGCUUAUUACAUUUUCAGUACAUAAUGUAUUCCCUUCCAUUCACAGGCGUACAGUUUAGCCUCGUGGUCAUUAGUGUGCAGCGUUCUGCUGGGUUGAUUGAUGAGAUUGAACAGUACAACCUUUAAACACAGGCCAAGUCGGGGCCAGAGAACUUCAUUUACUCUCAUGUGACAUUUGAGAAGCAGAUAUAAUAGUGUAUGCAGAUGAUAGUUAGCAUAUGCAUAAAGUCUGGUGUAGUACGGAGAACUCGAGUACGCUGGAACUGAUUUUUAAUAUUGAAUACCGAACUUCACACCACAGCAAUACCCCGAGUAGAUCUCUGAGGCGUACUGUGCAGUAUUCAUUGCACCUACUGUAUAGUAUGAUAUGUAGCAACAUAGUGCAACAGUGUUCAUCCAUACUGUACGUGUAAUUGAACAUAUUUGAUUUCAACCAUUUCUUCUGACCUGGUAACAUUUUUGUGGCCUGAUUCAUUGAAGAUGUAGGUCCUUUAAGCCAGAAGUAAAAUGUGAAUUAUAAAUGACAGUGUGUUCAUUACAGUGGUGUAGAAAAACACAUAAUACCAACACUAAUAAAGGCUUUUUGUUUUGAGUUAAACUGUAAACAUUUCCAGCCUUCAGUGGUUGUACAUCACUGGUUUUUGAUACAAUCUUAGCAGCAGCCCCCGGAGUUCGUUUGACUUUUUUUAGCAGCCGUUUUGCAGCUGUUCUUGAACGUUGCAGAGAACGGCAUAAAAACUGCUGCUCCUUCUCCACUGCCUUUACUUAUUUAUUGUUGCGUUUAUCCAUUUCUCAUUGGCUUUUACUACACUGUCUGCUUUUAUCUUAUAGUUUUAUUUCACCUUGUUUAGAUCUUAAAUUAGAUCUUUUAGCUUUAGGCUGCC